RNAcentral lists this ribosomal RNA (470 nucleotides) under uncultured bacterium. RNAcentral's name for it is "bacterial SSU rRNA". It matches the Rfam family "Bacterial small subunit ribosomal RNA", at positions 355 to 825 of the family's 1533-position model. The record is from RNAcentral.
UGGGGAAUUUUGGGCAAUGGGCGAAAGCCUGACCCAGCAACGCCGCGUGAGGGAGGAAAUCCUUCGGGAUGUAAACCUCGCAAGCAAGGGAAGACAGCUAGAGAUUUAAUAAAUUUCUAGUCCGACGGUACCUUGCGUAAGCCACGGCUAACUACGUGCCAGCAGCCGCGGUAAUACGUAGGUGGCAAGCGUUGUUCGGAAUUAUUGGGCGUAAAGGGCGCGUAGGCGGUUUGGUAAGACAGAUGUGAAAUCCCCGGGCUUAACCUGGGAACUGCAUUUGUGACUGCCAGACUAGAGUGUAGCAGAGGGGGGUAGAAUUCCACGUGUAGCAGUGAAAUGCGUAGAUAUGUGGAGGAAUACCGAUGGCGAAGGCAGCCCCCUGGGCUAACACUGACGCUCAUGCACGAAAGCGUGGGGAGCAAACAGGAUUAGAUACCCAAGUAGUCCCUGAGCGGGCUGGCAAGGCGCAU